This is an unclassified non-coding RNA of Dipodomys ordii (Ord's kangaroo rat), 333 nucleotides long. Its record names the gene 7SK. It matches the Rfam family "7SK RNA". Rfam says of the family: 7SK was discovered as an abundant small nuclear RNA in the mid-70s but a possible function has only recently been suggested. Two independent studies have found that 7SK RNA binds the CDK9/cyclin T complex (known as elongation factor P-TEFb). NCBI's taxonomy places the organism in Eukaryota, Metazoa, Chordata, Mammalia, Rodentia, Heteromyidae. The record is from Ensembl.
GGAUGUGAAGGCUAUCUGGCUGCGACUUCUGUCACCCCAUUGAUCGCCAGGGUUGAUUCGGCUGAUCUGGCUGGCUAGGCGGGUGUUCCCUUCCUCCCUCACCCCACUCCAUGUGUGUCCCUCCCGAAGCUGCGCCCUCGGUCGAAGAGGACGAUCAUCCCCGAUAGAGGAGGACCAGUCUUGGGUCAAGGGUAUACGAGUAGCUGCGCUCCCCUGCUAGAACCUCCAAACAAGCUCUCAAAAAUAAUGCCCGUUUACAUAUUUGCCAAUAAUACAUAAAGUAUGGGGUAGUAGUUAAAAGACAUGGUCUGUGGAUCCAUACUGUCUGGGUUC